This 474-nucleotide long non-coding RNA is filed under the name Cricetulus griseus (Chinese hamster). RNAcentral's name for it is "lncRNA (ENSCGRG00015041486.1)". Lineage: Eukaryota; Metazoa; Chordata; Mammalia; Rodentia; Cricetidae. The record is from RNAcentral.
UCCCGAGUUUGUCCAUUCUGUCUGGGAAGCAGCCUGCGAUGGAGAGUGAGGGCUGUGUCCCAGGUGCAGAGCAGCAGUGGGGCUUAGAAGGGACUAGUAUCUGGAAGGUCAGUGUCAAGACACCCUGAUGAAGAAAGGACCAGCUGAAGUUUGCACAGAAGAAUCUUGGGUCUGGGGAUGAUGGCUGAGUUCUCUGGAGCCUCAGGAGUCUUGGAUGAGAGUGCAGGGAGGAGAAAGACGCCCAUCCUGUGUUAGAGUCCUGCUGAUUACUGGAGACUGUUGAGCCAACCUACUAAAGAAGCAUCCGGCAUGGACAGCUGGACAAGAAAACAAACCCCAAAUCUGAGCCAAUUAUGUGUGUAAAUAAAACAGCACCGGACACAGCAUGCGAUCUAUUGUUGUUAAUAUCCCAUGCAGGGGUUUUCCUGGUGACCAGAAAUGCCACAGCUAUUCAGUGUUCUCCAGGCCCACCAG